AGAAACGUGGCCGAGCGGUUUAAGGCACCGGUCUUGAAAACCGGCGACGGGUAACUGUCCGUGAGUUCGAAUUUCACCGUUUCUGCCA
RNAcentral lists this transfer RNA (88 nucleotides) under Burkholderia ubonensis. Its description in RNAcentral is "tRNA-Ser". It matches the Rfam family "tRNA". Rfam says of the family: Transfer RNA (tRNA) molecules are approximately 80 nucleotides in length. Their secondary structure includes four short double-helical elements and three loops (D, anti-codon, and T loops). Further hydrogen bonds mediate the characteristic L-shaped molecular structure. tRNAs have two regions of fundamental functional importance: the anti-codon, which is responsible for specific mRNA codon recognition, and the 3' end, to which the tRNAs corresponding amino acid is attached (by aminoacyl-tRNA synthetases). tRNAs cope with the degeneracy of the genetic code in two manners: having more than one tRNA (with a specific anti-codon) for a particular amino acid; and 'wobble' base-pairing, i.e. permitting non-standard base-pairing at the 3rd anti-codon position. The record is from RNAcentral. Lineage: Bacteria; Pseudomonadati; Pseudomonadota; Betaproteobacteria; Burkholderiales; Burkholderiaceae.